RNA transcript from Canis lupus familiaris (dog), 1350 nucleotides. RefSeq lists it as uncharacterized. The record is from RefSeq and is a predicted model, not a curated record. NCBI's taxonomy places the organism in Eukaryota, Metazoa, Chordata, Mammalia, Carnivora, Canidae. The transcript has 2 exons.
GGGGCCCUUGGAGGCGCGCGCACCCCCUUUAGCACCGGGACCUCCGCGCGGCGCCAGCUCGGGCAGGCCUCCCCGGAGUGGGACGGCCCUUGCGUUUCCAAGUUCUCCAUCCCCUCCUGUGUGCACUGGGUGUGGCGGAGGAGAAAAGGGAGGGAGGCUUCCCGCACCGGCCCCCAGCACCGUGCGGCCGGGGCGCGGGGGCUUGAGUGCGCUGCGGCUGGGCCCACCCUGGGGCAGCUCGGGGCCGGAGGGGGCAGCCCCAAAACUUUGCCAGGCCCCACCUGGCUGCCGCCCGGCGCGCACGGCCUGACAGUGGGCGGGGGGCGGGAAGGAACUCGCGCAUCCCAGGCGAAAACGGGGACCCGAUCUAGGGAGACCCGGCGGGCGGGCAGCAGCGCGCGUGUAACCCACAUGUUAUUUACAGACGGAGAAAGGGCAGGGCCGCGUGUCGGAGAAGCCGGAGCUUUGCGGGCAGCUCCCGGCGCCAUUCUCCAAGAAUGCUGACCUCCUCCGCCGGGGCUGCAGGUUCCCCUGCUUCUGCUUCUUGCUUUCCACCCCAGCCCCCUGCCCCACGGUCCGCAGGACACAGACCUUCCUAUCUGAGCUGCACGGCCGGGCCACAGGGUCUGCUUUGCGCUCCCCUGAGAAGUUCAGGGGAAGGGCGCACGGAAGGACCCGACUCCUCGCUCGGACCUCUGCGGGGUGGCAGGUUACCCGCCUCUGUUCCCACUGCAGAUAUCUGUGUCGGGGUGUCCGGGGAGUUCCGCCUCCCCGGAGCGGGUCAAACCCUGUGCUUGCCUUCGUUCCGCGAUUCGCGACUUAGGAGGGAUGAGCAGCCGCUUCCCGCGAGCGCGGGGAGGAGGAGGCCGAGCCGGCGGCGCACGGCGCUCCCGGGGGCUCCUGCUGCGGGAAGGCCGCCGCGCGCUCCGGGGUGCGGCCGAGCCGUGCGCCCCGGCGGCGGAGCUGCAAUUCUGCACGGGGCCCCCUCGGAGGAGGUGCGGACACCUCUGGAAAGCAUCGACAGGCUUCCCGCUCCCGCGCGAGCACCUGCUAACUUAGCCCAGCAAGGGAAGCGCCCUGGAAGCAGAGAAGCUGACUGCCUCCGCCUGCACACCCCACCGGGGACUGAGCCCCGGACCUCAGCCCCUGCCUAUGUGCUCAGGGAUUUGGACCCUGGGGCCCUCACCAGGGGAUUAAACUGUGUGCUAAGAGCGCAUUUACGCAUUUACACAGCAGCGAAAGUUUGUUUCUCUUUUUCCGGUAGCUUUGUUUUAAGGAACCAGAUGUUUUGUCUGUAAAUUCUCCCAAGAACUUUUACAGUUUUGACGUGAAAUAAACCUUUGAAAAUCG